CUUGCGUCCCGACUUGAACGGAACUCCUUUUUUGUGGCUGGAAAAGCCUUGGCAAAAAGAGUGGGAGUGGAAGGCGGAAAAGACG
This 85-nucleotide small RNA is filed under the name Epilithonimonas xixisoli. Its description in RNAcentral is "Chryseobacterium xixisoli Flavo-1 RNA". Lineage: Bacteria; Pseudomonadati; Bacteroidota; Flavobacteriia; Flavobacteriales; Weeksellaceae. The record is from RNAcentral.